This 254-nucleotide ribosomal RNA is filed under the name uncultured bacterium. RNAcentral's name for it is "partial 16S ribosomal RNA". It matches the Rfam family "Bacterial small subunit ribosomal RNA", at positions 524 to 776 of the family's 1533-position model. The record is from RNAcentral.
UACGUAGGGGGCAAGCGUUGUCCGGAAUCAUUGGGCGUAAAGCGCGUGUAGGCGGCCAGAAAAGUCCGCUGUGAAAUCUCGAGGCUCAACUUCGAGCUGUCGGUGGAAACUGUCUGGCUAGAGUCCGGAAGAGGAGAAUGGAAUUCCUGGUGUAGCGGUGAAAUGCGCAGAUAUCAGGAAGAACACCCGUGGCGAAGGCGGUUCUCUGGGACGGUACUGACGCUGAGACGCGAAAGCGUGGGGGAGCGAACAGG